Molecule: ribosomal RNA, 570 nt
Filed under: Mycobacterium tuberculosis
Lineage: Bacteria; Bacillati; Actinomycetota; Actinomycetes; Mycobacteriales; Mycobacteriaceae
Description: bacterial SSU rRNA
Rfam family: Bacterial small subunit ribosomal RNA
Source: RNAcentral
GGUGACGGCCUACCAAAGGCGACGACGGGUAGCCCGGCCUGAGAGGGUGUCCGGCCACACUGGGCCUGAGAUACGGCCCAGACUCCUACGGGAGGCAGCAGUGGGGAAUAUUGCACAAUGGGCGCAAGCCUGAUGCAGCGACGCCGCGUGGGGGAUGACGGCCUUCGGGUUGUAAACCUCUUUCACCAUCGACGAAGGUCCGGGUUCUCUCGGAUUGACGGUAGGUGGAGAAGAAGCACCGGCCAACUACGUGCCAGCAGCCGCGGUAAUACGUAGGGUGCGAGCGUUGUCCGGAAUUACUGGGCGUAAAGAGCUCGUAGGUGGUUUGUCGCGUUGUUCGUGAAAUCUCACGGCUUAACUGUGAGCGUCCGGGCGAUACGGGCAGACUAGAGUACUGCAGGGGAGACUGGAAUUCCUGGUGUAGCGGUGGAAUGCGCAGAUAUCAGGAGGAACACCGGUGGCGAAGGCGGGUCUCUGGGCAGUAACUGACGCUGAGGAGCGAAAGCGUGGGGAGCGAACAGGAUUAGAUACCCUGGUAGUCCACGCCGUAAACGGUGGGUACUAGGUGUG